GACGAACGCUGGCGGCGUGCUUAACACAUGCAAGUCGAACGAAGAGCGACGGAAGCUUGCUUCUAUCACUCUUAGUGGCGACCGGGUGAGGAACGCGUAAUCAACCUGCCCUUCAGAGGGGGACAACAGUUGGAAACGACUGCUAAUACCGCAUACGAUCUAAUCUCGGCAUCGAGGAUGGAUGAAAGGUGGCCUCUACAUGUAAGCUAUCACUGCAGGAGGGGAUUGCGUCUGAUUAGCUAGUUGGAGGGGUAACGGCCCACCAAGGCGAUGAUCAGUAGCCGGUCUGAGAGGAUGAACGGCCACAUUGGGACUGAGACACGGCCCAGACUCCUACGGGAGGCAGCAGUGGGGAAUCUUACGCAAUGGACGAAAGUCUGACGGAGCAACGCCGCGUGAGUGAUGACGGCCUUCGGGUUGUAAAGCUCUGUUAAUCGGGACGAAAGGCCUUCUUGCGAAUAGUGAGAAGGAUUGACGGUACCGGAAUAGAAAGCCACGGCUAACUACGUG
Molecule: ribosomal RNA, 510 nt
Filed under: uncultured bacterium
Lineage: Bacteria
Description: partial 16S ribosomal RNA
Rfam family: Bacterial small subunit ribosomal RNA
Source: RNAcentral